RNAcentral lists this ribosomal RNA (301 nucleotides) under uncultured bacterium. Its description in RNAcentral is "partial 16S ribosomal RNA". It matches the Rfam family "Bacterial small subunit ribosomal RNA", at positions 509 to 807 of the family's 1533-position model. The record is from RNAcentral.
CAGUCGCCACGGGAAUACGUAGGUGGCAAGCGUUGUCCGGAAUUAUUGGGCGUAAAGGGCUCGCAGGCGGUUUCUUAAGUCUGAUGUGAAAGCCCCCGGCUCAACCGGGGAGGGUCAUUGGAAACUGGGAAACUUGAGUGCAGAAGAGGAGAGUGGAAUUCCACGUGUAGCGGUGAAAUGCGUAGAGAUGUGGAGGAACACCAGUGGCGAAGGCGACUCCCUGGUCUGUAACUGACGCUGAGGAGCGAAAGCGUGGGGAGCGAACAGGAUUAGAUACCCGCGUAGUCCCUGUCUCUUAUAC